GCGGCGGUCGUCCAACCGCAGGACAUCCGUGGUUGCCACCCGGGGAAUGAGGGUUCAAGUCCCUCCCGCCGCA
RNAcentral lists this transfer RNA (73 nucleotides) under Nitrososphaerota archaeon. RNAcentral describes it as "tRNA-Gly". It matches the Rfam family "tRNA". From Rfam's summary of the family: Transfer RNA (tRNA) molecules are approximately 80 nucleotides in length. Their secondary structure includes four short double-helical elements and three loops (D, anti-codon, and T loops). Lineage: Archaea; Thermoproteati; Nitrososphaerota. The record is from RNAcentral.